GAGUUUGAUUAUGGCUCAGGAUGAACGCUGGCGGCAUGCCUAACACAUGCAAGUUGAACGAGAAGUUCUGGAGGGAGUCUUCGGACGAACGAAGGGAUGGAAAGUAGCGAACGGGUGAGUAACGCGUGGGCAACCAACCUUACACAGGGGGAUAACACAGAGAAAUCUGUGCUAAUACCGCAUAAGCGCACAGUAUCACAUGAUACGGUGUGAAAAACUCUGGUGGUGUAAGACGGGCCCGCGUCUGAUUAGCUAGUUGGUGGGGUAAAAGCCAACCAAGGCGACGAUCAGUAGCCGACCUGAGAGGGUGAUCGGCCACAUUGGGACUGAGACACGGCCCAAACUCCUACGGGAGGCAGCAGUGGGGGAUAUUGCACAAUGGAGGAAACUCUGAUGCAGCAAUGCCGCGUGAAGGAAGACGGUUUUCGGAUUGUAAACUUCUAUCAGCAGGGAAGAAAAUGACG
Molecule: ribosomal RNA, 464 nt
Filed under: Lachnospiraceae bacterium canine oral taxon 161
Lineage: Bacteria; Bacillati; Bacillota; Clostridia; Lachnospirales; Lachnospiraceae
Description: bacterial SSU rRNA
Rfam family: Bacterial small subunit ribosomal RNA
Source: RNAcentral